GGCGGGGACGGCACGGUGCACCGGGCGUUGCAGGCGGUCGCCGGCACGGGGGUGCCGUUCGGUCCGGUCCCCGCCG
RNAcentral lists this transfer RNA (76 nucleotides) under Micromonospora sp. MH33. RNAcentral describes it as "tRNA-Cys". Lineage: Bacteria; Bacillati; Actinomycetota; Actinomycetes; Micromonosporales; Micromonosporaceae. The record is from RNAcentral.